RNAcentral lists this ribosomal RNA (551 nucleotides) under uncultured bacterium. RNAcentral's name for it is "bacterial SSU rRNA". It matches the Rfam family "Bacterial small subunit ribosomal RNA", at positions 347 to 916 of the family's 1533-position model. The record is from RNAcentral.
GGCACUCUUCCGCUACCUCGGACAAUGGCUCCCUGCCUGAUCCCCCAUGCCUGGUGCGAGAAGAAGGCCUUCGGGUUGUAAAGCUCUUUCACCUGUCCAAGAUGAUGACGGUAUAACGAGAAGAAGCCCCGGCUAACUCCGUGCCAGCAACCGCCGUAAUACGGAGGGGGGUAGCGUUGUUGGGAUUUUCUGGGCGUAAAGGGCCCGUGACGGUAUGUCAUGUCUCGGGUGAAAGGUCUGAGGUGGACCCACCAACUGGCUUUGUAACUGGACCACUAGAUUCCCAUUGAAGAUGGCCUAAUUCCCUCUGCUGAUGUGACCUUGCCACAUAUUGGAAAGAAGACCACCGUUCAACGUUGCCAUCUGGAUCGGCUCUGACGCUGAGGCGCGAAAGCGUGGGGAGCAAACAGGAUUAUAUACCCUGCCAAUCCGCGCCGUGUGCAAUAUGCGCUAGACGUUGCCAACCUUAGGCUCUGAUUGUGGCACCUAACGCGUGAGUCACACCGCCUGAGACGCACGGUCUCAAGGCUGAAACUCAAAUGAAUUGACGG